This 350-nucleotide unclassified non-coding RNA is filed under the name uncultured Calcarisporiella. RNAcentral describes it as "partial contains 5.8S ribosomal RNA, internal transcribed spacer 2, and large subunit ribosomal RNA". Lineage: Eukaryota; Fungi; Ascomycota. The record is from RNAcentral.
AACGCAUAUUGCGCUCUCUGGUCCUCCAGGGAGCAUGCCUGUUUGAGCAUCCAGUAAACCCUCACCACCCCCCCAGGGGGGCUGUGGAGCUGAGCAUUCUGGGAUCCCCCCCAUUACCGCAUGGGGCCUGGUUGCUUAAAAUGGAGCGUGUGCUGUGUUUGUCACUGCUUUGCGGCAAGGCGUACCAGUUCUCCUCGGAGAUCCACUUGCGCCGGUGAAUGCCCAGAGCGAUAUGCUGACUGACGGCCGCGACACUCUUGUAGUGUAACCUGCCCACACCAAGUUGCUGCGCAGCAUGCAAGGCACUUGAUCUUGAUCUCAAAUCAGGCAAGACUACCCGCUGAAUUUAA